GGCUUACUUUCUGGUUAGUCUGCUCCUGGCUCUUCCCUGUGCUGCCCCUCUGUACUGAUGCCCAGUUAGGAGUCACAUGCACACCCUCUCCUGGCUCACUAGAGAAAAGCUGGCAGAAAUUUCAAAGGUUCUCUCUCAGAGAAAGAGACUGUGAACCUGGAAAUGGUCUGGGAGCACUGAGCUGGAGCUGUCCCCACGGUGGCUGGAGCAGCAUGGUAUGUGCCAGGGUGUGAGACCAUUCACUGGAGUGUGAUUGAUCUUCCUGGAGCUACCCCCUUAAAGAAAACUGACUCUUCUUCCUCCUGAGGCCAUCAACUGUUGGUAGUUCCUCAGUUAGGGGUGAAGUCUCGUGAACCACGUUCUACUUUACAACAGAGUCCUGGCUGGCUUGAUCUUGUACAGGGAAACUGGAUAUGCACAUCUCUAAGGCCAGCACUCCCACUUUGACAGGAAUGUCUGUUGUCCUCACGGAGUCUGGGCAAGGAUAGUCCUGACGUUGUUGACAAGAAGAAAGGGCUGGAGAGAAUCGAAACAGCCAGGGCAGUAGGAG
Long non-coding RNA from Peromyscus californicus insignis, 550 nucleotides. RefSeq lists it as uncharacterized. The record is from RefSeq and is a predicted model, not a curated record. NCBI's taxonomy places the organism in Eukaryota, Metazoa, Chordata, Mammalia, Rodentia, Cricetidae. The transcript has 4 exons.